CGCGGGGGGGAGCCGCAUGCUAGCUCGUCGGGCUCAUAACCCGAAGGUCGUCGGUUCAAAUCCGGCCCCCGCAACCA
RNAcentral lists this transfer RNA (77 nucleotides) under Klebsiella pneumoniae. RNAcentral's name for it is "tRNA-Met". It matches the Rfam family "tRNA". From Rfam's summary of the family: Transfer RNA (tRNA) molecules are approximately 80 nucleotides in length. The record is from RNAcentral. Lineage: Bacteria; Pseudomonadati; Pseudomonadota; Gammaproteobacteria; Enterobacterales; Enterobacteriaceae.